UGUUCUAUUACUAGAAUAGGCGCAUUUCGAACAGGAAUGUAGAAAAGAAGUUUAUUAAGAAAAAGAACAAAUUUACAAUUGUAGAAAUGAAAUACAUUUUGACAAGGAAUCAAUGAAAAUAUCUGAUCUAUCAACUAGUUGGUAGUAUAGAGGACUACCAAGGUUAUAACGGAUAACGAGAAAUUAGGGUUUGACAUCGGAGAAGGAGCUUUCAAAAUGGCUACUACUUCUAAGGAAGGCAGCAGGCGCGUAAAUUACCCACUUUUAACAGAAAGAGGUAGUGACGACAAAUAACUCUAUUCUUUAAGAAAAAGAAUUGAAGGAAUGAACGAA
RNAcentral lists this ribosomal RNA (333 nucleotides) under Entamoeba gingivalis. RNAcentral's name for it is "SSU rRNA". It matches the Rfam family "Eukaryotic small subunit ribosomal RNA", at positions 183 to 522 of the family's 1831-position model. Lineage: Eukaryota; Evosea; Mastigamoebida; Endamoebidae. The record is from RNAcentral.